AGUAGGGCCUGCCCACUGAAUAUUUGAAGGGCCGCAGUAUCUUGACUGUGCAAAGGUAGCAUAAUCAUUAGUUUUUUAAUUGAAAGCUGGAAUGAAUGGUUUGAUGAAAAAAUUACUGUUUCUAUAUUAAUUUUUAAAACUUUAUUUUUAAGUUAAAAAGCUUAAAUUUUUUUAAAAGACGAGAAGACCCUAUAGAGUUUUAUUUAUAAAUUUUUAAUAAUUUUUUAGAAUUAAAUUUUUUAUUUAAAGUUGUAAAUUUUAUUGGGGUGAUAAAAAAAUUAAAAAAACUUUUUUUUUAUUUAUACAUUAAUAUAUGAUUUUUUGAUCCAUAAAAAUGAUUACAAGAAU
This 348-nucleotide ribosomal RNA is filed under the name Scymnus rhododendri. Its description in RNAcentral is "partial large subunit ribosomal RNA". Lineage: Eukaryota; Metazoa; Arthropoda; Insecta; Coleoptera; Coccinellidae. The record is from RNAcentral.